CCCACACCACAUCGACCCAUUUUAUUAACUGUGAGAAACCCCUACCUCCUCCAACAACAAAAUCGUUACUAAAAUUCACUAUUACAUGAAAAAUUCUGCUGUUUCUCGCAAUCUCUGAUUCCCCUGCUCAUGCUGAUUCUGGUAAAACCUCAUCACCUUUCCUCAAAACCCUAAAACACCCAAAUUAUCUUUUCCGUUGUAGGUUGUCGACCAAUUUAUAAGGUCACCCAUGGCUUCGAGGGACCAAGCGCUUUCUCUUCUCGCUGCAGCGAACACUCAUAGCGAUUUGGCGGUGAAGCUCUCCUCCUUGAAGCAGGCCAAAGACAUUCUAUUGUCAGUCGAACCGUCUUUAGCUGCCGAGCUUUUCCCUUACUUGGCUGAACUUCAAUUUUCGCCCGAGAAUCUAGUUCGAAAAAUGCUUGUCAAGAUAAUUGAAGAAAUUGGUUUAAAAGCAAUGGAGCACUGUUCUGUACUUAUACCUGUCUUAUUGGCUUUUAUGAAAGAUACUGAUCCUCUCGUUGCAAGGCAGUCUAUUAUUAGUUGCACACAUAUCUUUUGUGCUGUUCUAGAGGAAAUGGCAUUGCAGUUUCGCCGGCGUGGUAAGGUGGAGCAUGGUCUUGAAGAACUAUGGCUAUGGAUGAUCAAGUUCAAGGAUGCAGUGUUUGCAAUUGCAAUGGAGCCUGGUUAUGUUGGGACAAAGUUGCUGUCAUUGAAAUUUUUGGAAACAUACAUAUUACUUUUUACAGAUGACACCAAUGAUUCUGACAAACUUGUUGCAGAAGGAAAUAGACAGUUAUUUAAUGUUUCAUGGCUAGUUGGUGGCCAUCCUGUUUUGGAUCCAGUUGCACUCAUGUCAGAUGCAGACAGGACUCUUGGCAUUCUAUUGGAUUUUUUGCAAUCACCCAGCAAUCUUCCUGGUUCUUUGACAAUUGUUGUAGUCAAUUGUCUUGCAGCUAUAGCUAGGAAGAGGCCACUCCACUAUGGAACUGUUCUUUCUGCAUUGCUUGAUUUUAGUCCAAAUUUUGAGGCGGUGAAAGUAUGUCAUACUGCUAGCAUCCAGUACUCCUUGAGAACAGCCUUUUUGGGAUUCUUGCGGUGUACGCAUCCAGUCAUUUUUGAGUCAAGAGAUAGAUUGCUUAGGGCUUUACGUGCUAUGAAUGCUGGGGAUGCAGCUGAUCAAGUUAUCCGUCAAGUUGACAAAAUGAUUAAAAAUAAUGAGCGUGCUUCACGUGAAUCCAGGUUUAGCAGGGACGAUCAACUGUCAAGCCAACUUCCAGUUUCAGGGGAUCAGUUGAGAAAAAGAUCUGUGUCUCUUGAUACUGAAGAGCUAGCAAAUGGCCACGAGGUAUCGUCCAAGCGAAUUUGUUAUGGUCCCAACAUCUCAUCAACCGUGCCAAUCCAAAUAAAUGAUUCUGAGGAGGAAUCUGUAUCAGUCAAUGGAGUAUCCUCUAAUGCUUCUUUAUUAGAUAGUGAUUUGACUCCUGUGGAACAAAUGAUAGCUAUGAUUGGUGCAUUGCUUGCUGAAGGAGAGAGAGGUGCUGAAUCACUUGAAAUUCUCAUUUCAAAUAUUCAUCCUGAUCUGCUAGCUGAUAUUGUCAUCGCUAACAUGAAGCAUUUGCCUAAGAAUCCCCCACCUUUGUCAAGGUCUGGAAAUUUGCCAGUAUCUCGUCCAAUUGGUCCUGUAAGCAGUCCAGCACAAGUUGUGGUCACUUCUGCUCCAACAAAUUCUUUUUCUCCAGUUCCAACUGCACAUGUGCCUUUUUCUGCAACAAAUGGUUUAUCAUUGUCUGAUACGUCUACAGCCAAUAAUUCCCCGGCUGAUGCUAAACGUGAUCCAAGAAGGGAUCCUCGUCGCCUGGAUCCACGACGUGCAGCAUCAUCUGUUGGAGUACCAUCCAUACCUAUUACAGAUGAUGCUGGUGCCAUGGAACCUGAAUUUGAUGGUUCUAUUUCUUUGAGUAAGCCUCUUUCACUUCCGGUUGUGACAUCUGUUGAGAGUCCUGCACUUCCAAUGUCAAACAGUGAAACUGAUGAUAAGGCUAUAGAAAAUCCACUGGUGCCUGAAAGUGAUCAAGUAAGUUUGAAAGAAAAGAUUUUCAGUAAACCUGAGGAUGCUGUUCCCUCUUCAGAAGUCAAGACUUCAUCAGAUCAUGGUCUUUCUCCUCCUCACACAGUUGAUGAGGACUCUGUUGCAUCAAAGUUAUCAGAUGUUGAAGUGACAUUUGAAGCUCAUACAUCAGCUUUUAUGGAACUUGAUCAGCAUUCUCCAGCUGUUUCAAACACAUCUAUACCUGAAGAAACCUGUCAGGAUUUACCUCAGCUUCCAAUAUAUAUUGAAUUAACUGAAGAACAACAACGAAAUGUGAGAAAAUUGGCAGUUGAACGAAUUAUUGAAUCUUACAAGCCUCUUCCUGGGACUGAUUAUAGUUGGACACGUAUGGCAUUGCUUGCUCGAUUAGUUGCUCAGAUUGAUGCAGAUGAUGACAUUGUUGUGAUGCUGCAAAACCAUAUUGUUUUGGAUUACCAGCUGCAAAAGGGGCAUGAGCUUGUGCUGCAUAUCUUGUACCAUCUACAUUCUCUUGUGACUUUAGAUUCAGCUGGAAGUUCCUCAUAUGCUUCUGCUCUGUAUGAGAAAUUCCUCUUGGUAGUGGCCAAGUCUCUGCUGGAUACUUUUCCAGCUUCAGACAAGUCCUUCAGCAGGCUUCUUGGUGAAGUUCCAGUUUUGCCAGAGUCAGCCUUGACAUUGUUAGAUGAUCUCUGUUAUAGAGAUGUUUUGGAUUCCCAUGGAAAAGAGGUUCGAGAUGGUGAGCGUGUCACUCAAGGCCUUGGUGCUGUGUGGGGUUUGAUUUUGGGCCGCCCAAAUAAUCGGCAAGCGUGCUUAGAUAUAGCUUUGAAGUGUGCUGUUCAUUCACAAGAUGACAUUCGAGCAAAAGCUAUCCGUCUGGUGGCAAAUAAACUCUAUCAACUAAACUACAUAGCAGAUAAUAUUGAGCAAUUUGCAACAAAAAUGAUUUUGUCAGCUGUGGAUCAGCGUACUUCAGACACAGAGCUUUCACAGUCAGGGUCCACUGACCAAAGAGAAGGGGAGGUUGGAAGCCAGGAGACAUCAGUCAGUGGCUCUCAACUCUCAGAUACUGGAAAUUGUGAAACUAACACUGCAAGGGGUGCACAAGGGGUUGUCCAAAGUGCGUCAACCAUGUCACUGUCUGAAGCUCAACGACUAGUUUCUUUAUUUUUUGCUUUAUGCACACAGGUUGUCAAUUUUGUGAUGGUUUUAAGAUUUGGAAAGCUAUUGCGAAAUUUAUUUUUAGCUUGUAGUUUCUGAAAGAUGCUGACAAAAUUUCUUUCCUGCCAGAAACCUACUCUUCUUCAACUUGUAUUUGAUAUUUAUGGGCGAGCACCAAAAACUGUGAAGCAGGCUGUUCAUCGCAAUAUUCCUAUCCUUAUCAGGGCCCUAGGGUCAUCUUAUUCUGAACUGCUGCGUAUAAUAUCUGAUCCACCAGAAGGAUGUGAAAAUCUUCUGAUGCUGGUGCUACAAAAAUUGACCCAAGAGACAAUGCCUUCUGCCGAUCUGAUUGCCACUGUGAAACAUUUAUAUGAAACUAAGUUGAAGGAUGCUACUAUACUAAUUCCAAUAUUAUCUUCGCUCUCCAAGAAUGAGGUCUGCUUCACUAUUUGUUUCUUCCUUUACUAGAAAUUGUUUUCGUUCUCAUGCUUAUGCAUAUGUUCAUUUAAUGGCAAAAAUGGUUGUGCAAACCAAAGAGUGUGAUUACCUUGAGGUUUACAAGUGGAUUUAUGCAAUUACUUCAGUAAGGGUUACGAGUAUAGUGCAUUACGUUCCAAAUCCAAGUGGAAUUUGCAGUAGACAGCUAACUUAGAGGCCAGCUAGAAUAAAUUGUUGACUUGGCCAUCACACGGAAUAGGAUUAGAGAGAGAGACGGCAGAAAAUGAUGUAGGAGCUUGAUUUACAUGGAUAUUGUAUGUUCUAUCCUUUCCUUCCCCCGCAUUAAACUUUCUGUCUAUCUAGUUUAUUCCAUUGGAACCUUUGUCAGUUGUGGAGUUCUUUGGCAUGGCAUAUCAAGUGAUCUCCAAGUCUAAUGCUUUCAACUUUCUCGUGUUGCAAAAUGUGGAAUUGAAAGUGUAUUGCGUUGCAACCCACAGCUGGAUUUUAAUCAUUUUAUGAUUUCAGGUUUUACCGAUUUUCCCCCGGUUAGUUGGUCUUCCAAUAGAAAAGUUUCAGAUGGCACUCGCUCACAUUUUACAGGUGUAUUUGAAUGCUUAAUAUGAUUUUAUUUGCAUUGUUCUGUGUAUUUAUUCUGCCAUAAGCGUAGCUAACUGUUCUGUGUAUUUACCCUUUUGGUCUUCUUAUCUCUUUAGGUCGCUUAGGACAUUUCAUUUUUAUUAGUGCACCUACUUGUGCUAUCAUGUUAUUAUGACGGGGAAAAUUGAUAAUCCAGUGUAAUACCUACUCAUGUUUUCUUGUUAUUAUGAUGAGGAAAAUUGAUAAUCCAGUGUUAUAAACAGAAAAUUUCCUCUUUAAGACAGUGGAAACGGGCAGACACGUAGGUCCUUGUUUCAUUGCUAAACUUAAACACUGGGAUUAGCAAAAACUUUUGGCUUUUCUGUUAAGAGGCCGAAUCAUCAAUGAUACAGCUGUAAAAUUGCAUCAAAAUUUGAAUACAAACAAUUUUAAGGAUGCAUAGCUGCCUGUGAAUUUGGUUGAACUACGUAAAACAUGCCAAGAUAAUUUAAACAAUGUGCUUGACUGUUUAAUUUUGAUUUUCUGCUCCCUCCUUGCCAUCCUUUCUCUCCUCUCCCUUGUAAAGGGAAAAAUUUUCUAAGAUUUCUUGGCUUGUCAUGGCAGGGUUCAGCUCAUACGGGUCCAGCUUUAACACCUGCAGAAGUGUUGGUUGCCAUCCAUGAUAUCAGUCCUGAGAAAGAUGGCCUUGCAUUAAAAAAGAUAACAGAUGCAUGCUCUGCUUGUUUUGAGCAACGCACAGUAUUCACACAACAGGUUUUGGCUAAGGCCCUGAAUCAGAUGGUUGAUCAAACCCCAUUGCCUCUACUCUUCAUGAGAACAGUAAUUCAGGCAGUUGAUGCAUUUCCUACCCUGGUUGAUUUUGUUAUGGAGUUGCUGUCCAAACUUGUGAGUAGACAGGUGUGGAAAAUGCCAAAAUUGUGGGUUGGGUUUCUGAAAUGUGUGUCUCAAACAAGGCCACAUUCUUUCCGUGUAUUAUUACAGUUACCACCUCCACUACUUGAAAGUGCUUUGAACAAGCAUGCUAAUCUCAGAGGCCCCUUGGCUACUUAUGCAAGUCAACCAAGUAUCAAAACUUCACUACCUAGGUACAGUUCUCAAGGAGCUGAUUUACCAGUUCUUUUGGUCCCGAGAGAUCUACUGGGAAAUUUAUUAUUUUUUUUAAUGAAGUGAUAUUAUUUUUAUUUAUUUCUGUCCUGUGUGAUAAUGCAGUUUUAAUGACCUAUGCAAUUUAUUAGCUUAUCAAGUGAAUUAUGUAAUCAAUUUUCCCAUGUAUUAGAGCAUCUAUCACGAGUUGGCACUUGGCAUUGACAAUUCAACUAUUAAUUUUGGAGGGUUACCAGGUUCUGUGCAUGAGUUUUGGGCGUUAUGAUCCUUAAUUUUGUACCAUAUGCAUCACAAAUUGGUAGAACCAAUCAUCAAGUAUUCAUAUUACCUAUUACCAAAUGAGUUGUAGCUCUAUACUGAGUUCAGUGGUUGAACAAAACAUCUACAGGUUCAUAAGAUAUUUGUGGAAUUUUGAUUUGAUGCAAGGAGGUCCAUUACUGAACUUUCAAGUUAAGGAUGAUGGAGGCCUCAGACAUCCUAUGUUCAAGGGCUGUCUAGUUGAGGGAGAUCAUGGAAAUAGUUAGUGAUUUUUUGAGCAUGGGGGGAGGAGUUUAGGAUUUGACAGAUUGAGGGGAAAAGAACCUGUCGUUAUGAAGAAGCAGAUUAUAAGUCUGGAGAUCAAUAUAUAUAUAUAUAUAUACUCUAUUUAAUUAAUUGACAUAUUCUUAUGAAAGAUGAGAGUUUUCUAAGGUUAAUUUAUUCCUAUGCAUUUGGCAGAUCGACGCUAGCAGUUCUUGGUCUUCUCAAUGAUUCACAAACACAGCAACAUGUCACCUCUUUACACCCUUCAGAAACGAGUUCCUCUGUUCAUGGAGCAAAUCUUACAUGAUAAGUCACUGAGAAUCAGAAUUGACCACUUGUAUAGCAAGGAAUUGUUAAGGACCAUUCCAGAUGAUGGUCCUUAUCCACUGGUAACACUUGGCAGAAGGGGGAAUACAAAUUGACAGUGGUGGCUUAAAUGGACAUUUAACUUCCGACAAGUGACUAGCUGAUAUCUGAUGUGCAAUGAAUUGAAGUCAGCUGGGUGAAGUUGCAUUUUUGGCAAGAAACUGCCUCCAGAGAAUUCCAACCCUCCUUCCCUGGCUGCUCUACAAAUGUACCAUAAUUGUAAUGUCUUUUUCAUUUUUGUUCUAGUUAUUGUAAUUCAUUCUUUGAAAUUUUGAUCUUCAAAUCCAUCCUAAUAUGGGCAUGUCUUAUGAAGGGUGAAACAUUGGUUGGUCGGCAUGUAGGGCACCACAUAGGUUAAGCGACCAAUUGUUCUCAUUCUCAGCUGUAGGAGAUUAGCAAGUGUGGUUCCCUGCGUAGGUGGGGGGAACCAUUUAAUUUGAAGGGAAUAUGAUUGUGGAGCUGCUGUCCAUGUAUGAGGGGUACGGUCCGUCAUAUAAUUGAGGACUAAUUUGGUCAUGAUGAUCACAAUAAGAGUACAGCUCUCUUCUCAUUUUCACUUUCUUUUUCAAUGUUACUAAUCUAUGGCAAUUUGCGACAUUCUGGGAUCAUGCGUAGGGUGCCUUUUUGUGUUGUUAUGGAGUCUUGAACUAUUGAGAACGUGAUACAAAAUGCUUUGCUAGAUUUUUUUUUUUUUUUCCCUGUGCUGUAAGUUAAGAUAAAUAUGCGUGGCUGAAGUUGUUAUUUUACUGAUAAUAACAUGCAUCGCUAAGCCUAAAGUUUUAAGUGCAGUUCCGUAGCUAAAUGUUUAACAGACGCACUAUUUUGCGUUUGCGUCGUAGUUUAUGACCAGACGUAAAUAUGAAUUG
Molecule: unclassified non-coding RNA, 7119 nt
Filed under: Hevea brasiliensis (rubber tree)
Lineage: Eukaryota; Viridiplantae; Streptophyta; Magnoliopsida; Malpighiales; Euphorbiaceae
Source: RNAcentral